CAGGAUGAACGCUAGCUACAGGCUUAACACAUGCAAGUCGAGGGGCAGCAUGAGAUUAGCUUGCUAAUCUUGAUGGCGACCGGCGCACGGGUGCGUAACACGUAUCCAAUCUACCCAUGGCUCGGGGAUAGCCUUUCGAAAGAAAGAUUAAUACCCGAUGGUCUGCGAUUGAGACAUCUCGAUUGCAGUAAAGACUUGUCGGCGAUGGAUGGGGAUGCGUCCGAUUAGCUAGUUGGCGGGGUAACGGCCCACCAAGGCGACGAUCGGUAGGGGUUCUGAGAGGAAGGUCCCCCACACUGGAACUGAGACACGGUCCAGACUCCUACGGGAGGCAGCAGUGAGGAAUAUUGGUCAAUGGGCGAUGGCCUGAACCAGCCAAGUAGCGUGAGGGACGACGGCCCUACGGGUUGUAAACCUCUUUUGUAUGGGAAUAAAGUGAGGCACGUGUGCCUUUUUGUAUGUACCUUACGAAUAAGCAUCGGCUAAUUCCGUGCCAGCAGCAGC
Molecule: ribosomal RNA, 504 nt
Filed under: uncultured bacterium
Lineage: Bacteria
Description: bacterial SSU rRNA
Rfam family: Bacterial small subunit ribosomal RNA
Source: RNAcentral